This 258-nucleotide unclassified non-coding RNA is filed under the name uncultured fungus. RNAcentral's name for it is "sequence contains ITS1". The stretch from base 1 to 117 matches the Rfam family "5.8S ribosomal RNA", at positions 49 to 154 of the family's 154-position model. Lineage: Eukaryota; Fungi. The record is from RNAcentral.
UGAAAGGCGAAACGUAAUGUGAAUCGCAACUAACAGUGAAUCAUCGAAUCUUUGAACGCAGGCCGCACUUCGUAGUAAAACUCUGUUUUGCUGCGAGGUAUCUACGUGUGAGUGUCAGCCAUAUAUCUUUUUGGUUUAUAGGGGAGAAUUUGAUUUAUCAUUUUCCAACCUGUGAAUACACAAGUGUCUAGCGACAUAUCUCUUGAAGCAAGUCACAUUGUCUGGCCUCACAUGUGGAAGAUUACCCGCUGGAUUUAA